RNAcentral lists this ribosomal RNA (279 nucleotides) under uncultured bacterium. RNAcentral's name for it is "partial 16S ribosomal RNA". It matches the Rfam family "Bacterial small subunit ribosomal RNA", at positions 506 to 784 of the family's 1533-position model. The record is from RNAcentral.
UGCCAGCAGCCGCGGUAAUACGUAAGGUGCAAGCGUUAAUCGGAAUCACUGGGCGUAAAGCGCGCGUAGGCGGUUGUGUAAGUCGGAUGUGAAAGCCCAGGGCUCAACCCUGGAACUGCUUCUGGAACUGGCAGACUAGAGAUAGGUAGAGGCAGGUGGAAUUCCAGGUGUAGAGGUGAAAUUCGUAGAUAUCUGGAGGAACACCGGUGGCGAAGGCGGCCUGCUGGACCUUAUCUGACGCUAAGGCGCGAAAGCGUGGGGAGCAAACAGGAUUAGAUA